GACGAACGCUGGCGGCGUGCUUAACACAUGCAAGUCAAACGGAAAGGCCCUGCUUUUGUGGGGUGCUCGAGUGGCGAACGGGUGAGUAACACGUGAGUAACCUGCCCUUGACUUUGGGAUAACUUCAGGAAACUGGGGCUAAUACCGGAUAGGAGCUCCUGCUGCAUGGUGGGGGUUGGAAAGUUUCGGCGGUUGGGGAUGGACUCGCGGCUUAUCAGCUUGUUGGUGGGGUAGUGGCUUACCAAGGCUUUGACGGGUAGCCGGCCUGAGAGGGUGACCGGCGACAUUGGGACUGAGAUACGGCCCAGAGUGCUACGGGAGGCAGCAGUGGGGAAUAUUGCACAAUGGGCGGAAGCGUGAUGCAGCAACGCCGCGUGCGGGAUGACGGCCUUCGGGUUGUAAACCGCUUUCGCCUGUGACGAAGCGUGAGUGACGGUAAUGGGUAAAGAAGCACCGGCUAGCUACGUG
RNAcentral lists this ribosomal RNA (468 nucleotides) under uncultured bacterium. RNAcentral's name for it is "partial 16S ribosomal RNA". It matches the Rfam family "Bacterial small subunit ribosomal RNA", at positions 28 to 507 of the family's 1533-position model. The record is from RNAcentral.